GGAGUUAGCCGGUGCUUCUUCUGUGAGUGAUGUCCUUCCUGCCGGCUAUUAACCCGCAGGCCUUCUUCCUCACUGAAAGUGCUUUACAACCCGAAGGCCUUCUUCACACACGCGGCAUGGCUGGAUCAGGGUUGCCCCCAUUGUCCAAUAUUCCCCACUGCUGCCUCCCGUAGGAGUCUGGGCCGUGUCUCAGUCCCAGUGUGGCUGAUCAUCCUCUCAGACCAGCUACGGAUCGUCGCCUUGGUGAGCCGUUACCUCACCAACCAGCUAAUCCGACAUAGGCUCAUCCGAUAGCGCGAGGCCCGAAGGUCCCCCGCUUUCCCCCGUAGGGCGUAUGCGGUAUUAGCCUGGGUUUCCCCAGGUUAUCCCCCACUACCGGGCAGAUUCCUAUGCAUUACCUCCACCCGUCCGCCGCUCCGCCACCGAGGGACGACAACGCCUCCCGUGCUCGCCGCUCGACUUGCAUGUGUACGUCGUCGCCGCCGACGCGUACUACUCUGACGACACUAACUAACUAACUACUACGUACGUAGACGGCGGGCGUCGGACGACGGCG
This 556-nucleotide ribosomal RNA is filed under the name uncultured bacterium. RNAcentral describes it as "partial 16S ribosomal RNA". The record is from RNAcentral.